Molecule: ribosomal RNA, 446 nt
Filed under: uncultured bacterium
Lineage: Bacteria
Description: SSU rRNA
Rfam family: Bacterial small subunit ribosomal RNA
Source: RNAcentral
AGAACGAACGCCGGCGGCAGGCCUAACACAUGCAAGUCGAGCGCGUGUAGCAAUACACGAGCGGCAGACGGGAGAGUAACACGUGGGAACGCGCCCUUCGGUUCGGAAUAACUCAGGGAAACUUGAGCUAAUACCGGAUACGCCCUUACGGGGAAAGAUUUAUUGUCGAAGGAACGGCCCGCGUCCGAUUAGCUAGUUGGUGAGGUAACGGCUCACCAAGGCGACGAUCGGUAGCUGGUCUGAGAGGAUGACCAGCCUCACUGGGACUGAGACACGGCCCAGACUCCUACGGGAGGCAGCAGUGGGGAAUAUUGGACAAUGGGCGCAAGCCUGAUCCAGCCAUGCCGCGUGGAUGAUGAAGGCCUUAGGGUUGUAAAGUCCUUUUAACGGGGAAGAUAAUGACGGUACCGUAGAAUAAGCCCGGCUAACUUCGUGCCAGCAGCCGC